This 253-nucleotide ribosomal RNA is filed under the name uncultured bacterium. RNAcentral's name for it is "partial 16S ribosomal RNA". It matches the Rfam family "Bacterial small subunit ribosomal RNA", at positions 524 to 776 of the family's 1533-position model. The record is from RNAcentral.
UACGAAGGGGGCUAGCGUUGCUCGGAAUCACUGGGCGUAAAGCGCACGUAGGCGGAUUGCUAAGUCAGGGGUGAAAUCCUGGAGCUCAACUCCAGAACUGCCUUUGAUACUGGCGAUCUUGAGUCCGGGAGAGGUGAGUGGAAUUCCUAGUGUAGAGGUGAAAUGCGUAGAUAUUGGGAGGAACACCAGUGGCGAAGGCGGCUCGCUGGACCGGUUCUGACGCUGAGGCGCGAAAGCGUGGGGAGCAAACGGG